This 29-nucleotide ribosomal RNA is filed under the name Ficus annulata. Its description in RNAcentral is "partial 28S ribosomal RNA". The record is from RNAcentral. Lineage: Eukaryota; Viridiplantae; Streptophyta; Magnoliopsida; Rosales; Moraceae. RNAcentral also lists the same sequence under 6 other names.
ACGCGACCCCAGGUCAGGCGGGGCUACCC